Molecule: ribosomal RNA, 253 nt
Filed under: uncultured bacterium
Lineage: Bacteria
Description: partial 16S ribosomal RNA
Rfam family: Bacterial small subunit ribosomal RNA
Source: RNAcentral
UACGAAGGGGGCUAGCGUUGCUCGGAAUCACUGGGCGUAAAGGGCGCGUAGGCGGACUCUUAAGUCGGGGGUGAAAGCCCAGGGCUCAACCCUGGAAUUGCCUUCGAUACUGAGAGUCUUGAGUUCGGAAGAGGUUGGUGGAACUGCGAGUGUAGAGGUGAAAUUCGUAGAUAUUCGCAAGAACACCAGUGGCGAAGGCGGCUCACUGGCCCGAUACUGACGCUGAGGCACGAAAGCGUGGGGAGCAAACAGG